Molecule: unclassified non-coding RNA, 309 nt
Filed under: uncultured fungus
Lineage: Eukaryota; Fungi
Description: partial contains small subunit ribosomal RNA, internal transcribed spacer 1, and 5.8S ribosomal RNA
Rfam family: Eukaryotic small subunit ribosomal RNA (bases 1-73)
Source: RNAcentral
UCAAACUUGGUCAUUUAGAGGAAGUAAAAGUCGUAACAAGGUCUCCGUUGGUGAACCAGCGGAGGGAUCAUUACCGAGUUUACAAACUCCCAAACCCCUGUGAACUUAUACCACAAACGUUGCUUCGGCGGGUUUUUCUUUUUCGCCCCGGACGCCGGACUCCCCGGCCCCGGAACCAGGCGCCCGCCGGAGGACCCAAACUCUUCUGUAUUUUGUACAAUGCAUGUCUGAGUGGAUUUAAUUAUCAAAAAAUGAAUCAAAACUUUCAACAACGGAUCUCUUGGUUCUGGCAUCGAUGAAGAACGCAGC